RNAcentral lists this transfer RNA (76 nucleotides) under Mycoplasmopsis agassizii. RNAcentral's name for it is "Mycoplasma agassizii tRNA_Glu_TTC". It matches the Rfam family "tRNA". Rfam says of the family: Transfer RNA (tRNA) molecules are approximately 80 nucleotides in length. Their secondary structure includes four short double-helical elements and three loops (D, anti-codon, and T loops). Lineage: Bacteria; Bacillati; Mycoplasmatota; Mycoplasmoidales; Metamycoplasmataceae. The record is from RNAcentral.
GGCCUAUUGGUGAAGCGGUCAACACACAUGGUUUUCAUCCAUGCAUUCACGGGUUCGAGUCCCGUAUAGGUCACCA